CCGCUUGAGCCACAUCCCCAGCCCAAACGGAACCAUCUUGGAACCAUCUUGAAGGUGCAGUGCUUGUCCAUGGCACCCUGCUGUCCUGUGUGCUCCAGGCCCGGGGAGUUACUUCCUGAUCCAAGUUACAACUAAGGCCAGAGACCUCAGAAGUUGGGAGUGGGAAACUCCCCUGAACUCACUCACCUCCAGUGCUCCUCCCAACAUGUGUCACCAAGGAGCAGGCACACAGGUCCCCAGGAGAACACCAGUCUCACCGUCACUCUCAUGGUCUGCACUCACAGUCCCUCUGGCGGGCCUCUUUCCUCCACGGUGGCCCCACUCCCUUUCCUUCCAAGUUCCUCUGGGAAACUCAUAGGCAAACAUCUUUCCAGAGGGGUGAGGAGGUGCCUGCCUGUCAUCCCAGCGACUGGGGAUUCUUAAACAGGAGGAUUGCAAGGCCAUCCUAGGCAAUUCAGCCAGACCCUAUCUCGAAUUAAAAAAAUUAAAACGGGCUGCAGGAGUAGCUCAGUGGUCGCGCACUCCUGGGUGCAAUCCCCAGCACUGUAAAAGAAGACAGAAAGAAAACAUCUCUCCGAGAGGGAUG
Urocitellus parryii (Arctic ground squirrel) is the source of this 586-nucleotide long non-coding RNA. RefSeq lists it as uncharacterized. The record is from RefSeq and is a predicted model, not a curated record. NCBI's taxonomy places the organism in Eukaryota, Metazoa, Chordata, Mammalia, Rodentia, Sciuridae.